Gopherus evgoodei (Goodes thornscrub tortoise) is the source of this 99-nucleotide long non-coding RNA. RefSeq lists it as uncharacterized. The record is from RefSeq and is a predicted model, not a curated record. The transcript is spliced from 3 exons. NCBI's taxonomy places the organism in Eukaryota, Metazoa, Chordata, Testudines, Testudinidae.
AAAGAUGAUAUCAAACUGGAACAGGUGCAGUGAAGGGCUAGUAGGAUGAUCAGAGGAAUGGAAAACCUACCUUCUGAGAGGAGACUCAAAGAGCUUGGC